AAGUUCCCUUCGGGGGAUGAGUACAGCGGCGAACGGGUGAGUAACACGUAGGUAACCUACCCUGGGGACUGGGAUAACCUGCCGAAAGGCGGGCUAAUACCAGAUAAGACCACGAGGGCCAUGGCCCUUGGGGCAAAAGAUGGCCUCUGCUUGCAUGCUAUCACUCCGGGAUGGGCCUGCGCGCCAUUAGCUAAUUGGUGAGGUAACGGCUCACCAAGGCAGAGAUGGCUAGCUGGUCUGAGAGGAUGGCCAGCCACACUGGGACUGAGACACGGCCCAGACUCCUACGGGAGGCAGCAGUGGGGAAUAUUGCGCAAUGGGCGAAAGCCUGACGCAGCGACGCCGCGUGGGUGAUGAAGGCCUUCGGG
RNAcentral lists this ribosomal RNA (368 nucleotides) under uncultured bacterium. RNAcentral describes it as "bacterial SSU rRNA". It matches the Rfam family "Bacterial small subunit ribosomal RNA", at positions 71 to 422 of the family's 1533-position model. The record is from RNAcentral.